AGGGGAAUGACGCAAAAAUAGAAAGAGGGACUCACACUUCAUCUCGUCUCCGUAAAACCCUAACACCGAAAUCGAUCCCGAACGGGAGUUUAUCCCCCAAAUCGGCAGACCUUAUCCUUGGAUUCCUUGUUCACCGAUCCUCCGUUCGAUCGAUCACUACACUUGGCAUUCGAGUCCGUUUAUCGGCGCCUUUUUGUUGUCGUGUAUCGGCCUUCUUCGGGCAUCAAUUUCGUCGAAUUUCGAAAUUUGUUGGCGGUUUGUCUCUAUUAGUGUAAGGCUGGCGAGCGUGGAAGGCGUGUAAUGGCGGAUCCGCCAGGUGUCCGCCGAUUGCUCAUGCUGGGUUCCCGUAUAAGAAGGCCUUUCGAAUCGCUUCUUCUGGGUUUAGGGUUUCCGAUUUGUGGCGGUGGAGGUGAGUUUGGAGUACCGAGAGAGUGGAAAGCAUGGUGACCGUGCUCCGCGUGCACCUUCCGUCGGACAUUCCGAUUGUAGGCUGCGAGCUUACGCCGUACGUGCUCUUGCGCCGUCCUGACAAGUCUGUUUCCACCGAGGAUGUUCCUGAAUCCGCUCCCCUUGACGGCCAUUUCUUGAGAUAUAAGUGGUAUCGCAUACAAAAUGAUAGGAAGUUUGCCAUCUGCAGUGUACAUCCUACCGAGCCAGCUACAUUGCAGUGCCUAGGAUGUGUUAAGGCCAAAAUACCAGUUGUCAAAAGUUACCAUUGUUCCACUAAAUGUUUUUCAGAUGCGUGGCAGCAUCAUCGUGUUCUGCAUGAGCGUGCUGCUAGUGCAGUAAAUGAGAAUGGGGCCGAGGAUGAAGAACUAUUUGGCCGUUUCAAUAGCACAGGAUCUGGGGUAGGUUUACCUGCUUCCCAAUCAAGCCCUAGCUUGGCCAAUGGUUCUACACCUGUAUAUCCGCCAUCAAUUUCACAAAGAAGUGGGGGUGAAACGUGGUUUGAAGUUGGAUACUCUAAGACUUAUACACCGACAGCUGAUGAUAUUGGCCAUGUACUUAAGUUUGAGUGCAUUGUAGUAGAUGUGGAAACAAAACUACCAGUGGGGCAUGCUAAUACUCUUUUAACUUCCCAUGUCAUUCCAGCUCCAACCCCUACUCCCCGAAAGUUGAUCUCUGUCAGUGGAAUUGAUUUGAUUGGACAUUUGGAUCCAGAUGGUCGUAUUUCAUCCACAGGAACUUUUACGGUGCUCUCUUACAACAUCUUAUCUGAUUCGUCUGCCACAACCGACUUUUAUAGCUACUGCCCUUCUUGGGCUCUUUCAUGGCCUUAUCGCAGGCAGAAUCUGUUACGAGAAAUAGUUGGAUAUCGCGCUGACAUUGUUUGUCUUCAAGAGGUUCAAAGCGACCAUUUCGAAGAAUUUUUUGCCCCUGAGCUGGAUAAGCAUGGUUAUCAAGCUCUUUUUAAAAGAAAAACGUCAGAGGUGUUCAGUGGAAGUAUUAAUACAAUUGAUGGUUGUGCAACAUUUUUCCGCAGAGAUAGGUUUUCUCAUGUAAAAAAAUAUGAGGUUGAGUUUAAUAAAGCUGCACAGUCUUUAACUGAAGCAUUGGUUCCUACUGCUCAGAAAAAAGCUGCACUGAAUCGAUUACUUAAGGAUAAUGUUGCACUGAUAGUGGUUCUAGAAGCAAAAUUUAGUAACCAGGGGAUUGAUAAUCCUGGGAAACGUCAGCUUGUUUGCGUGGCAAAUACGCAUGUGAACAUCCACCAAGAUUUGAAGGAUGUAAAGCUCUGGCAGGUUCAUACUCUGUUAAAAGGAUUGGAAAAAAUAGCUGCCAGUGCAGACAUUCCUAUGCUAGUGUGUGGGGAUUUUAAUUCUGUUCCUGGAAGUGCCCCUCAUGCGCUCCUUGCGAUGGGAAAGGUUGAUCCUAUGCACCCUGAUUUAGUUCUGGACCCUAUUGGAAUCUUACGCCCUGCUGGCAAGCUGACACAUCAGCUGCCAUUGGUGAGUGCUUACUCAUCAUUUGCAAGAAUGGGGGUUGGUCUUGGCUUAGAACAACAUAGGAGGAGAAUGGACCCUACUACCAACGAACCCUUGUUUACGAACUGCACCAGGGACUUCAUUGCUACUGUGGAUUACAUAUUUUAUUCAGCUGACUCGUUGACUGUGGAGUCUUUGUUGGAGCUCUUGGAUGAGGAUAGCUUGAGAAAAGAUACAGCGCUUCCUUCUCCGGAGUGGUCUUCAGAUCAUAUAGCACUUUUAGCUGAAUUUCGCUGCAAGCCUAGAACUAGACGCUGAUGCUAUUGAUAAGGAGGGAAAAAGCUAAAUUGUGGAGCUGUGUAGGUUCAACUCUGUUUCAAUGUUCUAUUACUGCAAUUAAGUGCAGUCUGUAAAAUUGGCUGGAAUUCUGCAUAACUGUCACUGUGAAUGGUCAGCUCAGGAGUGAAUCCUAAAGAUAGAAGAAGUGUAGAGAUAUCAAAGGAGAAGGAUAAGUUAUUGUAAGAAUGGUAAUCAUGCUUGCUAUGUUCUUCCCUAGGUAUCUGAUCAUGGGAUACUUGAUAUCAUAUGCUUUGCAUUGUGCUUCCUUGUCAAAUGGAGAUGUUAUGGAUAUGUAUAGAAGUUCAUUCAGCAAUACCAACAAGUGCAAUAUAUUUAACCAAUUUGUACUUUGACUAGAAUUUUCUGCAAAGCCAGAUUAGCUAUUAGUAUUUAGUAGUUGUAGCCUGCAGUCCUUUCAAAUGUUUGGAUUGGAUUUCUGGGCUAGCUUUGCUUUUGGUUGCUGAGAGGAUGGAUGUAAAAAGAAAAGGGUUGGAGGGAGCCAUGUUGCCUUCUUGUCCUCCAGUUUUCUGCAGCCAAAUUGUAAUAGAUAGCUAGAAGACUUGGAAUUUGGAUAUAAACAAAAAUAUAGCACCAAAGCGCCAGAUUUCUGAAAUAGGAUUUUACUUGCUUGUUUAA
Molecule: RNA transcript, 2900 nt
Organism: Diospyros lotus (date-plum)
Lineage: Eukaryota; Viridiplantae; Streptophyta; Magnoliopsida; Ericales; Ebenaceae
Gene name: carbon catabolite repressor protein 4 homolog 1-like
Exons: 13
Source: RefSeq, a predicted model, not a curated record